UGUGAAAAACUAUUAACCCAGGCAACCACAAGACGAUAAAAGGAUACUAAAUUCAUAAGUUUGUGUACAAUUGACUACAUGGUGUUAAAAUACCAAGUCAGCCAAAGGCAUUAAGAAAAAAAAAAAGUGACAGAAAGAAGAAAAAAGUUCUAAACUCUUGAAAUUAUCUUCUUCUUAUUGUUUAUUUUUUGUCCUCGUCCUCUCCUCUGGUCCUGGUCCUGUCACUGUCACUGGAACUUUUGUAAUGUUUAUGUUUAGGUUCGCGCCUGUUAGUUACUGUAAUCCUGAUUUGAAUCGAAAAUUAACACCUUAGUUUAAACACACUUUCACUGAGGUGAAUACAUCAUGGAGAAUGAGGACAUGAAAAAUGAAGAUUCCAAGAUAGAGUAUGUGGCAAGUGGACUUUUAACUCACAGUUUUAGUGAGAAAAUUGGUGCGAAAACAUUGUUAUUUAGUGUUUUGAAACUCAAAGACAGUGUUUUUGUUUGGAUCGGGUUGGCAACUGAGCUGAAGUUAAUGAACAUGUGCUUAGCUAUGAAGUCACCUUACGAUACUCUCCCUCUUACAACUCACUUCCUCGGAUCAGUGAAUGACGACAAAUCAUCAGCGCUGGCAUCAAAGUUGAGCAUUCGUCUAAAGAAACCAGUGUUUGUAAGUGUUAAUGUAGAACUAGAUCGUUUUCAAUUUCCUGAACUUAGUGCGAGAUUGAAUGAAGAAAUAAAACAGAGACCAGAGUGCUUUUAAAUCAAGGGGUGCACAAUUAAUUUGUAAACAUUAUUACAUAGGCCUAUAUUUAAUUUUAUUAAAUAAAAUGCUGUCAGUUUUUUAAACAAA
Molecule: long non-coding RNA, 834 nt
Organism: Macrosteles quadrilineatus (aster leafhopper)
Lineage: Eukaryota; Metazoa; Arthropoda; Insecta; Hemiptera; Cicadellidae
Exons: 2
Source: RefSeq, a predicted model, not a curated record